Molecule: transfer RNA, 72 nt
Filed under: Camelus bactrianus (Bactrian camel)
Lineage: Eukaryota; Metazoa; Chordata; Mammalia; Artiodactyla; Camelidae
Also listed under: 1 other name
Rfam family: tRNA
About the family: Transfer RNA (tRNA) molecules are approximately 80 nucleotides in length.
Source: Rfam by way of RNAcentral
GAGGGUAUAGCUCAGUGGUAGAGCGCGUGCUUGGCAUGCCCGAGGUCCUAGGUUCAAUCCCCAGUACUGCCA